This 497-nucleotide ribosomal RNA is filed under the name uncultured bacterium. Its description in RNAcentral is "partial 16S ribosomal RNA". It matches the Rfam family "Bacterial small subunit ribosomal RNA", at positions 28 to 507 of the family's 1533-position model. The record is from RNAcentral.
GACGAACGCUGGCGGCGUGCCUAAUACAUGCAAGUUGAGCGAUGAAGAUUGGUGCUUGCACCAAUUUGAAGAGCAGCGAACGGGUGAGUAACGCGUGGGGAAUCUGCCUUUGAGCGGGGGACAACAUUUGGAAACGAAUGCUAAUACCGCAUAAUAACUUUAAACAUAAGUUUUAAGUUUGAAAGAUGCAAUUGCAUCACUCAAAGAUGAUCCCGCGUUGUAUUAGCUAGUUGGUGAGGUAAAGGCUCACCAAGGCGAUGAUACAUAGCCGACCUGAGAGGGUGAUCGGCCACAUUGGGACUGAGACACGGCCCAAACUCCUACGGGAGGCAGCAGUAGGGAAUCUUCGGCAAUGGACGAAAGUCUGACCGAGCAACGCCGCGUGAGUGAAGAAGGUUUUCGGAUCGUAAAACUCUGUUGGUAGAGAAGAACGUUGGUGAGAGUGAAAAGCUCAUCAAGUGACGGUAACUACCCAGAAAGGGACGGCUAACUACGUG